RNAcentral lists this ribosomal RNA (1534 nucleotides) under Klebsiella pneumoniae. RNAcentral describes it as "bacterial SSU rRNA". It matches the Rfam family "Bacterial small subunit ribosomal RNA". Lineage: Bacteria; Pseudomonadati; Pseudomonadota; Gammaproteobacteria; Enterobacterales; Enterobacteriaceae. The record is from RNAcentral.
UUGAAGAGUUUGAUCAUGGCUCAGAUUGAACGCUGGCGGCAGGCCUAACACAUGCAAGUCGAGCGGUAGCACAGAGAGCUUGCUCUCGGGUGACGAGCGGCGGACGGGUGAGUAAUGUCUGGGAAACUGCCUGAUGGAGGGGGAUAACUACUGGAAACGGUAGCUAAUACCGCAUAACGUCGCAAGACCAAAGUGGGGGACCUUCGGGCCUCAUGCCAUCAGAUGUGCCCAGAUGGGAUUAGCUAGUAGGUGGGGUAACGGCUCACCUAGGCGACGAUCCCUAGCUGGUCUGAGAGGAUGACCAGCCACACUGGAACUGAGACACGGUCCAGACUCCUACGGGAGGCAGCAGUGGGGAAUAUUGCACAAUGGGCGCAAGCCUGAUGCAGCCAUGCCGCGUGUGUGAAGAAGGCCUUCGGGUUGUAAAGCACUUUCAGCGGGGAGGAAGGCGUUAAGGUUAAUAACCUUGGCGAUUGACGUUACCCGCAGAAGAAGCACCGGCUAACUCCGUGCCAGCAGCCGCGGUAAUACGGAGGGUGCAAGCGUUAAUCGGAAUUACUGGGCGUAAAGCGCACGCAGGCGGUCUGUCAAGUCGGAUGUGAAAUCCCCGGGCUCAACCUGGGAACUGCAUUCGAAACUGGCAGGCUAGAGUCUUGUAGAGGGGGGUAGAAUUCCAGGUGUAGCGGUGAAAUGCGUAGAGAUCUGGAGGAAUACCGGUGGCGAAGGCGGCCCCCUGGACAAAGACUGACGCUCAGGUGCGAAAGCGUGGGGAGCAAACAGGAUUAGAUACCCUGGUAGUCCACGCCGUAAACGAUGUCGAUUUGGAGGUUGUGCCCUUGAGGCGUGGCUUCCGGAGCUAACGCGUUAAAUCGACCGCCUGGGGAGUACGGCCGCAAGGUUAAAACUCAAAUGAAUUGACGGGGGCCCGCACAAGCGGUGGAGCAUGUGGUUUAAUUCGAUGCAACGCGAAGAACCUUACCUGGUCUUGACAUCCACAGAACUUUCCAGAGAUGGAUUGGUGCCUUCGGGAACUGUGAGACAGGUGCUGCAUGGCUGUCGUCAGCUCGUGUUGUGAAAUGUUGGGUUAAGUCCCGCAACGAGCGCAACCCUUAUCCUUUGUUGCCAGCGGUUCGGCCGGGAACUCAAAGGAGACUGCCAGUGAUAAACUGGAGGAAGGUGGGGAUGACGUCAAGUCAUCAUGGCCCUUACGACCAGGGCUACACACGUGCUACAAUGGCAUAUACAAAGAGAAGCGACCUCGCGAGAGCAAGCGGACCUCAUAAAGUAUGUCGUAGUCCGGAUUGAGUCUGCAACUCGACUCCAUGAAGUCGGAAUCGCUAGUAAUCGUAGAUCAGAAUGCUACGGUGAAUACGUUCCCGGCCUUGUACACACCGCCCGUCACACCAUGGGAGUGGGUUGCAAAAGAAGUAGGUAGCUUAACCUUCGGGAGGGCGCUUACCACUUUGUGAUUCAUGACUGGGGUGAAGUCGUAACAAGGUAACCGUAGGGGAACCUGCGGUUGGAUCACCUCCUU